CCUACGGGAGGCAGCAGUGGGGAAUUUUGCGCAAUGGGGGCAACCCUGACGCAGCAACGCCGCGUGAGUGAUGAAGGCCUUCGGGUCGUAAAGCUCUGUCAGAGGGGAAGAAAUGCAGGUGGUGAACAACCAUUCUGUUUGACGGUACCCUCAAAGGAAGCACCGGCUAACUCCGUGCCAGCAGCCGCGGUAAUACGGAGGGUGCGAGCGUUGUUCGGAAUUAUUGGGCGUAAAGCGCGUGUAGGCGGUUUGUUAAGCUGGAGGUAAAAGCCCCGGGCUCAACCUGGGAAGUGCAUUGGAUACUGGCAGACUUGAGUACGGGAGAGGAGAGUGGAAUUCCCAGUGUAGGAGUAAAAUCCGUAGAUAUUGGGAGGAACACCGGUGGCGAAGGCGGCUCUCGGGACCGAUACUGACGCUGAAACGCGAAGGCGUGGGAAGCAAACAGGAUUAGAUCCCCUUGUAGU
Molecule: ribosomal RNA, 464 nt
Filed under: uncultured Geobacteraceae bacterium
Lineage: Bacteria; Pseudomonadati; Thermodesulfobacteriota; Desulfuromonadia; Geobacterales; Geobacteraceae
Description: partial 16S ribosomal RNA
Rfam family: Bacterial small subunit ribosomal RNA
Source: RNAcentral